Molecule: ribosomal RNA, 267 nt
Filed under: uncultured bacterium
Lineage: Bacteria
Description: partial 16S ribosomal RNA
Rfam family: Bacterial small subunit ribosomal RNA
Source: RNAcentral
GUCCACGCCGUAAACGAUGAUAACUAGCUGUCCGGGUUCAUGGAACUUGGGUGGCGCAGCUAACGCAUUAAGUUAUCCGCCUGGGGAGUACGGUCGCAAGAUUAAAACUAAAAGGAAUUGACGGGGGCCUGCACAAGCGGUGGAGCAUGUGGUUUAAUUCGAAGCAACGCGCAGAACCUUACCAGCGUUUGACAUCCUCAUCGCGAUUUCCAGAGAUGGAUUUCUUCAGUUCGGCUGGAUGAGUGACAGGUGCUGCAUGGCUGUCGU